GCCCGUAUGGCUCAGUUGGUAGAGCAUGGUGUUUGCAACGCCAGGGUUGUGGGUUCAAUUCCCACGGGGGACC
Molecule: transfer RNA, 73 nt
Filed under: Salmo salar (Atlantic salmon)
Lineage: Eukaryota; Metazoa; Chordata; Actinopteri; Salmoniformes; Salmonidae
Rfam family: tRNA
About the family: Transfer RNA (tRNA) molecules are approximately 80 nucleotides in length. Their secondary structure includes four short double-helical elements and three loops (D, anti-codon, and T loops).
Source: Rfam by way of RNAcentral